GAAGCGGGCCAGACCGCCGCUGGUGCAAGUCUCGAAAGAGCGCACUGGAGGAACGUCCGGACUGCACAGGACGGCGCAGGAGCUAACGGCUCUCCACCGUGAGGUGAGGAUCAGAGCAACAGAGACGAGUCGGCCGGGGGGCAACUUCCGGUCGGGUGAAACGGGCAAUCUCUGCGCGCAGCAACACCAAGUAGGCCGACACACGGGUCGCGGUUCGCCGCGAUGUCCGAAUCCCGUGGUUCCGCGGAUGGUCGGCGGGUAGGUGGCACCGAGCCGUUCGGCGACGAACGGCCCAGAUUAAUGGCGGUCACGGCGGGGGCGACCCCGCCGCACAGAAUCCGGCUUAUCGGCCCGCUUCACAC
RNAcentral lists this RNase P RNA (362 nucleotides) under Comamonadaceae bacterium. RNAcentral describes it as "RNase P RNA component class A". It matches the Rfam family "Bacterial RNase P class A". From Rfam's summary of the family: Ribonuclease P (RNase P) is a ubiquitous endoribonuclease, found in archaea, bacteria and eukarya as well as chloroplasts and mitochondria. Its best characterised activity is the generation of mature 5'-ends of tRNAs by cleaving the 5'-leader elements of precursor-tRNAs. Lineage: Bacteria; Pseudomonadati; Pseudomonadota; Betaproteobacteria; Burkholderiales; Comamonadaceae. The record is from RNAcentral.